RNAcentral lists this unclassified non-coding RNA (207 nucleotides) under Hevea brasiliensis (rubber tree). The record is from RNAcentral. Lineage: Eukaryota; Viridiplantae; Streptophyta; Magnoliopsida; Malpighiales; Euphorbiaceae.
UUUUUUUUCUGGUGUGGGGUUUGGGUUUUUGAGCUCUGGGAAGAGGGAGAAUGGAAAAAGAUGAUGGUAUGCUGCUUCUUUCAACAGUAGGACCGCCAAUUAAGCGGCGAGCAGGGUUGAGAAGGAAGCAGGCAGGCAGAGGAUCAUACAGAGGAAGUUAGGUAUUGGGAUAAGGGAAGAAAAUUGGGGAUUGUUAGGGUUAUUUGA